Molecule: long non-coding RNA, 1434 nt
Filed under: Homo sapiens (human)
Lineage: Eukaryota; Metazoa; Chordata; Mammalia; Primates; Hominidae
Description: long non-coding RNA NONHSAT217746.1
Source: RNAcentral
GACCUGACGCUCUGCUUUCCCCUGACCUCCACUGACAUCUACGACCCGCCCUGGAGGCACGGAAGGCUGUGGGGUUCCAGCCCCCCAAACUGUGCAGCUGAGGAAAAUGAGCCGUGAAUGGGGGCAGAGCCAGAUCCUGGGCGGGACCCUGCGCAGGAUGAACUCAGGUACUUGGGGUCAGACCGGCUUCGAGGCCCCCGGACCGCCGUGUUAUCAGGACGGCAGCCAGAGGGACCCCGGGAAGAUGGGAGUGAGAGCUGCCUUCGUCUGCAAAAGUCUCCAGACACCACCUCACUGGUGAAGGCCAGAGACCCUAAACUGUCCCAAGACCACCUGACUGGGCUGCCUCCCUGCCACCUGGCUGCCAGCCUCUCUCAGAGCGCCUGCAAGCUAUUCCUCCAACCCAGAGUUUCCUUCCCAGCUAAAGGCCUUUGCACCUGCUGUUCCUUCUGCCUGGAAGUUCACCGCAGACUAUCCCAGGGCCUCCAUCCUUCCCAUUGCAUGGUCCCCAUCAGCUGCCGCCGCCUCUGAGAGCUCAGUCUCCACUGGCCAUCCUGUCUCUCAGCCCACUGCACUCUCCACUCUGCCAGAAAGUCCCCCAAUCAGUGACAACACAGGUCACGGUCCACACCUCACCUGGUUUGUCCCCAGUGCCCAGCAUCUGGCACCGAGCAGGUGCGUGCAAAUCCUGGACAGGUGGGCAAGCUGAUGGUGUCCAGAGGCCCCUGGUCCUUAAGGGCAGGGGUGGGGAUGGCUCAGAGGACAUAACCUUGCAGACCCGGGUUCAAAUCUGGGCUCCUCAGCUCAUUUGGUCCUCACACAGCCCAUGUUGGGAGAGCUAGUGUUCUCCCUGUUUUGCUGAUGAGACACAGAGAAGGUCAGCAACUCCCGAAGAUUGCCCAGCAAGUUGGGAGUAAAGCUGGUGCAAUUCCCACGUUUAGCUGCUAAACAGGGUGUCCUGUACUUGGUGUGUUCAAGCAGAAAUCCACACAUGGGAAGGUCAAGGCAACAUCCCUGGUACUCCAGCUUUGAGGUCCUAGGAAAAAGGGAACCUCCCAUUAAAUGCUUCUAUUGCCGGGAAGUUCAGCACCUGUAAAAGCAGCCCCUUCCCGUUUCACUGUGGCUGCAUUUUAAUUCUUAUUUUUUAAAUGUUUAGCUUAAGGCCGGGCACAGUGACUCACACUAUAAUCCCAGCAAUUUGGGAGGCUGAGGCGGGAGGAUCACUUGAGCCUAGGAAUUCAAGACCAGCCUAGGUAACAUAGUGGGACCCUAUCUCUACAAAAAAUAAAAAAUUAGCCAGUCAUGGUGGCAUGCUCCUAUAGUCCCAGCUUGGAGAUUGAGGUGGGAGGAUCACCUGAGCCUAAGAGGACAAGGCUAGAGUAAGCCCUGAUCCCGCCAGCACCCCAGCCUAAGUGAAAGAGCGAGAGCCUGUCU